This 279-nucleotide unclassified non-coding RNA is filed under the name plant metagenome. RNAcentral's name for it is "partial contains small subunit ribosomal RNA, internal transcribed spacer 1, and 5.8S ribosomal RNA". The record is from RNAcentral.
UUCUCCGUUGGUGAACCAGCGGAGGGAUCAUUGCGGAGUUUUCACAACUCCCAACCCUUGCGAACCGUACCCAUUCUGUUCUCGUUGCUUCCGGCGGGCGGGACAAGGGGGCGCGAAACGGCCGCCCCCCCCCGCCCGCCGUGGGCGGCGGGCCCCACUCACCUUCCCAUCUCAACCCCAAGAAACCGACCGCGAAAACAAACAAAAUAAUCAAAACUUUCAACAACGGAUAUCGUAGCACUUGCAUCGAUGAAUAACGUAACAGAUCAGUAGAGCACA